RNAcentral lists this ribosomal RNA (243 nucleotides) under uncultured bacterium. RNAcentral's name for it is "partial 16S ribosomal RNA". It matches the Rfam family "Bacterial small subunit ribosomal RNA", at positions 118 to 352 of the family's 1533-position model. The record is from RNAcentral.
UGAGGAACAUGACUUUCGGUGGGGGAGUAGCCGGCCCAACGGCCGGGUAAUACCGCGUACGACCUCUUGGGGACAUCCCCGAGUGGUGAAAGCAGCAAUGCGCCGAAAGAGUGCCUCGCGGCCUAUCAGCUAGUUGGUGGGGUAAUGGCUCACCAAGGCGACGACGGGUAGCUGGUCUGAGAGGAUGGCCAGCCACAGUUGGGACUGAGACACCGGCCCAGACCUCCGUACGGGGAGGACGCG